UCUACGGGUGGCAGCAGUGGGGAAUAUUUGGCAAUGGGCGCAAGCCUGACCCAGCAAUGCCGCGUGAAGGAAGAAGGCUUUCGGGUUGUAAACUUCUUUGACAGGGAAAGAGCAUAAGACGGUACCCUGAAAACAAGCCACGGCUAACUACGUGCCAGCAGCCGCGGUAAUACGUAGGUCGCAAGCGUUGUCCGGAUAUACUGGGUGUAAAGGUCGUGUAGACGGGAAGUCAAGUCAGAUGUGAAAUCUGGAGGCUCAACCUCCAAAUUGCAUUUGAAACUGUUUUUCUUGAGUACUGGAGAGGCAGACGGAAUUCCUUGUGUAGCGGUGAAAUGCGUAGAUAUAAGGAGGAACACCAGUGGCGAAGGCGGUCUGCUGGACAGCAACUGACGGUGAGGCGCGAAAGCGUGGGGAGCAAACAGGAUUAGAUACCCGGGUAGUC
Molecule: ribosomal RNA, 442 nt
Filed under: uncultured bacterium
Lineage: Bacteria
Description: partial 16S ribosomal RNA
Rfam family: Bacterial small subunit ribosomal RNA
Source: RNAcentral